This 560-nucleotide ribosomal RNA is filed under the name Streptococcus pyogenes. Its description in RNAcentral is "bacterial SSU rRNA". It matches the Rfam family "Bacterial small subunit ribosomal RNA", at positions 84 to 631 of the family's 1533-position model. Lineage: Bacteria; Bacillati; Bacillota; Bacilli; Lactobacillales; Streptococcaceae. The record is from RNAcentral.
CGGUUCAAGGAGUUGCGAACGGGUGAGUAACGCGUAGGUAACCCUACCUCAUAGCGGGGGAUAACUAUUGGAAACGAUAGCUAAUACCGCAUAAGAGAGACUAACGCAUGUUAGUAAUUUAAAAGGGGCAAUUGCUCCACUAUGAGAUGGACCUGCGUUGUAUUAGCUAGUUGGUGAGGUAAAGGCUCACCAAGGCGACGAUACAUAGCCGACCUGAGAGGGUGAUCGGCCACACUGGGACUGAGACACGGCCCAGACUCCUACGGGAGGCAGCAGUAGGGAAUCUUCGGCAAUGGGGGCAACCCUGACCGAGCAACGCCGCGUGAGUGAAGAAGGUUUUCGGAUCGUAAAGCUCUGUUGUUAGAGAAGAAUGAUGGUGGGAGUGGAAAAUCCACCAAGUGACGGUAACUAACCAGAAAGGGACGGCUAACUACGUGCCAGCAGCCGCGGUAAUACGUAGGUCCCGAGCGUUGUCCGGAUUUAUUGGGCGUAAAGCGAGCGCAGGCGGUUUUUUAAGUCUGAAGUUAAAGGCAUUGGCUCAACCAAUGUACGCUUUGGAA